UGCCUCGUUUUCCUGGUCUUCCUGUGGGUCCUCGGUGUCCUGCUAUCCCAGGCUCACCCUUUGGACCCAUUUCACCCUGGAGAGAAGACAGAGAAGCAAGAGAGGAAUUAAGAGAUGUGGAAUAGGAACACUUAUACAGGUUUAUCCAGUCAUUGGCUGCUGGAUCUUUCCAAAGCUUUCCCAACUGGGCUGCGCUGGGAGAUUGGGAAGCGAUGAAGUCAUGAGAAAGGCAGGUACGUCUUUUAAGAAAGAGGAAGAACGAAGGUAACCCUGGGUGGGUUAUUUAUUAUCUGACAGAGAAAGCUGUAGGGCAGCACACAUUUUGGUGGCCAAAUGCGGGGGGAGACAAACCAUCAUCUGGAAUAGCCAAAGUGGGAGAGUGGGAGGGUUGUGCACUACAGUCACAUGUGUGCCUGUGACCCUGCAGCUGUCUGGGGGACAUGCUUUUCCUUCCAGUUGAAAUUUUAUGUUGUGCUUUAUUGUCUUUUGUUUUUUAGCACAAAUUCAAAUUUAAAGGUUUUUGAGUGAUUGGACACAGUUUUGCCAACUAUCAUCUUUGGGAAGUUUCUGCUUUUGCUUGGGAUUAUCUAGUUCGCCACUCUUUAGUAAAUAUUGGUUUAAGUUCCAGCUCACUUCCAUUUGAUUUAGAUGGAAACUCUUUUUGUGGGGAGAGAUUUUCCAAAGACAUGUUCAGAUAUUCAAUAUAAUUAUUGAAAAAGGCAGGGAAAGUAUGUAAACAAUAUUCCAGUUUGAUAAGCCUAUGUUGAACUUUUAGAACCAAGUGCACUAGCUGCGGGAUUUCAUAGUUUAAGGCCAAUCUUUCACAAAACCCAUUUCUCCAUCUUAGUUUCUCUUCUUCUUCUUCUAUUGUACAUGUUCUUCUAGGGUUCCAGCCCUGUUUACAGUUUCUUUGAGGCAUGAACCCACAGGGCGCAUCAUUCCUAUCUCCAGUAAUCCCCCGAGAGCCCAGAAAGCACCACCACCAAGCGGCAGCGGCCAAAAUGAAGUUCAAUCCCUUUGUGAUUUCUGACCGAAGCAAGAACCGCAAAAGGCAUUUCAAUGCACCUUCCCACGUUCCCAGGAAGAUUAUGUCUUCCCCUCUCUUUCCAAAGAGCUGAGAUAGAAAUACAGUGUUUGAUCCAUGCCCAUCCGAAAGUGUGAUGAGGUUCAGGUGGUUUGGGGACACUAUAAAGGUCAGCAAAUUGGCAAAGGAGUCCAGGCUUACAGGAAGAAAUAUGUCGUCUACGUUGAACGGGAGCAGCGGGAAAAGGCUAAUGGCACAACUGCCCAUGUGGGUAUUCACCCCAGCAAGGUGGUUAUCACUAGGCUUAAACUGGACAAAGACCGCAAAAUGAUCCUUGAACAGAAAGCCAGAUCUUGCCAAGCAGGAAAGGAAAAAAGGCAAGUACAAGGAAGAAAAUUGAGAAGAUGCAGGAAUAA
Microcebus murinus (gray mouse lemur) is the source of this 1440-nucleotide non-coding RNA. Lineage: Eukaryota; Metazoa; Chordata; Mammalia; Primates; Cheirogaleidae. The record is from RefSeq and is a predicted model, not a curated record.